Molecule: long non-coding RNA, 931 nt
Organism: Oryzias melastigma (Indian medaka)
Lineage: Eukaryota; Metazoa; Chordata; Actinopteri; Beloniformes; Adrianichthyidae
Exons: 4
Source: RefSeq, a predicted model, not a curated record
AGGAGGGAGACCUGGAAGAACAUGACUAGACCCAUGAAGAAGUCUGAGAUGGCCAGAGAGAGGAGCAGGAAGUUGGUAGAGUUGUGGAGCCGACAACUCCAUAAACUGCACCAACACGGCUCAAUGGUGUGGCGUCCUGCAGACGACGCCCUUUGACACGUGUAACUCCAACAUCGACCCUCAGCCCUUCAUCAGUGCCUGUUCAGAAACGUUGUGCAAAUACCCAUCACAGGACGGGCUGGAGUGCCAGUACCUGGAGGCCUACGCCGAGGCCUGCCGACUCCACAGCAGUGUGAGGGUGGAGGGCUGGAGGACGCCGACCAUCUGCUCUGGAGUACAGCGGGCAGCCUGUCAGAGCUGCAGCUCUCAUGAGUUCUGUGGUCUGGACACUCACAGUCAGAAGCCUCGCUGUCAUUGUCGCGCCAUUUUUGCCUCCAAGUACAAACCAACAGGAAGCUUUGGUGAGCCGUUGGUUUGUGAGAAGAAAUCUGCCUCGGUGGUUCUGGCCAACUGUCUCCUGGAGGACGAAAGCAUCGACUACACCACCUUACACCUCAAUGACCAGACCUGCAAAGGAGAAAUGGACAACGUGACCCACAUGGUGACCUUUGGCUUCGACACUGAGAGGCCAUGUGGAACCCUGAUCAUGGUGGGUAUCUUCUCCAGUUUAAAACCUAUCUUUAAAGUUAACAUUCUUCCUAAUGUCUGUGGGUUGAAGAGAAAAUGUUAGAAAUAAAAAAAAAAAACUAUCAAAAUCUCAGAUCUCUGAAGGCCUAAUAGUUAAGAUGUCGCCAGUGUCAUGAGCCCAAACCAUCAUCCUCCCACCCCAUCUAAAUAUCCAUUUUUAGGUGGUUCUAACUUGAAAAAUUAAAUCAGAAGUCAGGAGGAUGAGGAGCAAAAGGUUUUUUCUAAAUUGCAAAAAAAAAAAAAA